CUCUGGAACUGUCCAGGUCGGCUGAGGAUGGGGGAUCUCCUUCUCCCCAUAAAUCAGUCUGGCCCUCCCCAACCGCGGGCCCCCAGGAGGCUUGUCAGAGCCGCUCCCACGGCCGGCACGCGGGGGAGGGGCCCCAGGGCGCACGAAGGACCCCCCGCAGGCUGCCCGCCGCGCCGAACCCAGGCCGUCUGGCCCGAACGCAGGCCAAGGCGGAGGCGCCCAGGCUGCUUCCCGGCCCCGGAGCCCCACAGCACCAAGCCCGGAUCGCAGGACACGGGCGCGCGCCCGGGCCCGCGCACACUCACCGCCCGCGCCGCCGCCGCCGCCGCCGCCGCCACCCCGGGACGCGGAAGGUCGGGGGCGCCGAGCCCCUAAUGCCGCAGCCUCUGGGCACCGCAGCCCCGCGCCCAGCACGCCUCCCGCGCCGCGCUGCGCCGCCUUCACGGGCCCGCCCCCCGCCCGGCCGGCCCCGCUCGGUCGCCCAACCCCGAGGAGCCGCCCGCCGGACUCGCUUUGGGGCCAAGAGGGAACGCGCCUCCCGGGCCCGCGGCGGAGCGGAGCUGGAGGCCGCGUUUCAUCAGCCGAGCGCCCCCCCGGGACGCCGGAAGGAGCCUCCGCGCGGAGCCGACCACGUGCACGGCAUCUUGGGGCACGGGUUCCCGCCGUCUCCCCACUGUAAAGGAGCGGCUUACUCCAGAGGUCCAGCCCCCUCACACACAAUCACGGAACCCGUGGAUGAGGCAGUAUUUGAGACCAGAAGUUUAUUGGGGACUUGGGUUUGGUUUUUGUUUGGUUGGUUUUGUCGUUGUUUUUAGAGUCGGGGGUUUCGCUGUGUUGCCCAGGCUGCUAUCGGACUCCUGACCUCAAGCGAUCCUCUUGCUUGGCCUCCCAAAGUGUUGGGAUUACAGGCGUGAGCCACCGCACCUGGCCGGGGACUUGUUUCUAAUGGAAAAUUGUGUAUGUGCUGUAUUGUUAAGAGCAUUGGUUUGGGGUCAGACUAGGCUGUGAUUCGGGUCUCUCCACUUCUUAUUAUCGUCUUUGGUAAAUUAUUUAACCUCUUUGUGCCUUCGUUUUCUGUAAAAAGCAGAUAAUUAUAGCUACUUCAUGAGGUCGUGUGAAGAUUUAAUGAGAUAGUGUGUGUGAAAUGUUCACAGCUACCAGACACAUACUCACUCGUGUUCCCAAUUGCUAUACUCACAAGGGCUCACUCCCAUCGCCAUCCUUCGUAAUUUCAAAGGGUCUACGGUUAAAAGUAAGUAACCUUUCCCCUGAGGAAAACACUAACCUUGUGCUUUCCUUGUAUUUUUCCUUAGAGCACAUAUGUACCUGUGCGUGUGUGCGUUUACACAAAGGAAGGCCUUUUCUAUUCUGUUGGGCACUCUGCUUUUUCAUUCGACAAAGUACCUUGGCGCUCAUCGGCCAGAACGCGCCACACUGCCUCAUUUCCUUUUAAGGGGCACAUAAACGUCCCUAUAUUAAUAUUAGGUUUGCGCAAAAGUUAUUGCGUUUUUUUGCCAUUAAAAACAUUACAGGCUGGGCGCGGUGGCUCACGCCUGUAAUCCCAGCACUUUGGGAGGCCGAGGCGGGAGGAUUACCUGAGGUCGGGAGUUCGAGACCAGCCUGAUCAACAUGGGGAAACCCCGUCUCUACUAAAAAUACAAAAUUAGCCGGGCCUGGUGGCGCAUGCCUGUAAUCCCAGCUACUCGGGAGACUGAGGCAGGAGAAUCGCUUGAACCCGGGAGGUGGAGGUUGCGGUGAGCCGAGAUUGCGCCAUUGCACUCCAGCCUGGGCAACAAGAGCAAAACUCCAUCUCAAAAAAAAAAAAAAUUGCAAAAACCGCGAUUAUUUUUGCACCAACCUAAUAGAAAGGGUCUUUGUUUUCUUAACCCUUCUUUCUUAGUGGACAUGAAGGUGAUUUCCAGCCUUGCUGACAGGCCUUGCCCUGAUACACAUAGCAGCAUUGUUGCAUACACGCAAACAUGCCACAGCCUGCAUUUCUUUCUUUCUCUUUCUCUUUCUUUCUUUCUUUCUUUCUCUCUUUCUUUCUUUGUUUCUUUUUCUUUCCUUCUUUCAUUUCUUUCUCUCUUUGUUUCUUUUUCUUUCCUUCUUUCUUUCUUUCUUUCUUUCCUUCCUUCCUUCUUUUUCUUUUUCUUUUUCUUUUUCUUUUUCUUUUUCUUUUUCUGAGACAGGGUCACUCUCUUGCCCAGGCUGGAGUGCAGUGGUGCAGUCACAGCUCACUGCAGCCUCGGCCUCUCCUCUCAGGCUCAAGGGAUCCUCCCACCUCAGCCUCUCUGGUAGAUGGGUCUAAAAGUGCAUGCCACCACUCCCGGCUAAUGUUUUUGUUUUUGUUUUUGUUUUUGUUUUGUAGAUGCAGGGUCUUACUAUGUUUCCCCAGCUAGUCUCAAACUCCUACACUCAAGUGAUCCUCCCACUUCAGCCUCCCAAAGUGCUGGGAUUACACGUGCAAGCCACCAUGCCUGGCCCAUUUCUAUAAGUAGAUGUGCUGAGUCAGAAUGUACAUGCUUGUUUGUUUGUUUGUUUGUUUGUUUGUUUGUUUUUGAGAUGGGGUCUCGCUCUGUCACCCAGGCUGGAGUGCAGUGGUGUGAUCUUGGCUCACUGCAGCCUCCACCUCCCGGGUUCAAGCGAUUCUCCCACCUCAGCCUCCCGAGUAGCUGGGAUUACAGGGGUGUGCCACCACGCCUGGCUAAUUUUUGCAUUUUUAGUAGAGACAGGGGUUUCACCAUGUUGCCCAGGCUGGUCUCGAACUCCCGACCUCAGGUGAUCCACCCGCCUUGGCCUCCCAAAGUACUGGGAUUACAGGGGUAAGCCACCGCACCUGGCCUAUGCAUGCAUUUUUUUAUUUUAACAGAUAUUCCAAAUUGUUGGGAAACUCUCAGACCCCAGAACUUAGCUGGCUGCAUGCUCGGCCAGCCCUCAGAGACAGCAUGAUUGGAGGCAGGAGCAGGAAUUGGCAACCUGAGAAGUAGAUACCACCCAGGCACCCUCAUUCACAAGGAUCCAGAGACAGGGUUUCCCCCUGUUGCCCAGUCUGGCAUCGAUCACCUAAGCUCAAGCGAUCCACCCAUCUUGGCCUCCCAAAAUGCUAGGAUUAUAGGUGUCAGCCACUGCACCCGGCCCUGACCCAGGAGCCAGUGGCAUCUGAAAUUUUUUUAAAAGCCAGAGAAGAUCUAUGUUGACCUGAUGAUCUUUCACCUUCUAGAUCUCCCUGAACCACUGGCCAAAUCUUUCAAUAAAGAAUGUGCUUAACCUGCCUCUUAAGACCCAUGUAUUUGCACAAGAAGGAAAAAAAAAACCAGAAAAAAAAGCAAAACUAGAGCUGCCUGCCUGUGCUGAAGCUUUUUCAGUAAUUUCAGAGCCACUGAAGUGAUGUGAGAUCAGUUGACAAGAGAAAAACACUCUGAGAUCUGCCAGAAUGACCCUCAAGGGGAGAAAAAUAAUUAAACAGGUGGAAAAACAAGGAACACGCAAGACUGAUCAAAGCGUUUCUUUUCUGUUGAACAGCUUUUGCUGACUUCUGGUACCAUCAGUUUUCUUGAGUACAAUAAAGACCAACAAAUGCAGAAUGUUAGUUACGGGCCUUACUCAAUCAGGCUCAAAGGCUUUACUGGGGUUACAGGAAGCCAAGUACCCAGUCCACUAAUGUCCUGGGAGAAAAGCCUGAAGGCAGAGCAUGGUAGGUUUUCUCUUGCAGCCUGCAGGCUGAUCUGAUGGGACUUCAAUUCUGUCACUUCCUUGCUCUGUGACAUUGAACAUUCUGUAAGCCUCUGGGCCUCAGCUUUCUCAUCCAUGGAAGUGGGAUUACAGUGUCUAACCUGCAGGGCUGCUGUGUGUUUAUAUAUGUGCAUAGAACAUAAUGGCCUUCCCUUGAUAGAAGCAGAGAUUGGACAUGUGGCCUCUGACAAGUUACUUUUUUUUUUCUACAAGUUUCCCUCUCCUCUCCCCCAUUCAGAAAGUGGAAGGGGUAAUUCUUCAGGGAAUUUGUGAGAUGUUACCACAAGGUUACACAAUGGCUUGCUGUAAACUAUUUUAUGUCUUUUUUUUUUUUUUUUUUUUGAGACGGAGUCUUGCUCUGUCACUCAGGCUGGAGUGCAGUGGUGCGAUCUCGAUCUCAGCUCACUGCAACCUCCAACUCCCAGGCUCAAGCGAUUCUCAUGCCUCAGCAUCCUGAGUAGCUGGGACUACAGGUGCACACCACCACGCCCCAGUAAAUUUUUUGUAUUUUCAGUAGAGACAGGGUUUCGCUAUGUUGGCCAGGCUCGUCUCGAACUCCUGGCCUCAAAUGAUCCACCAGCCUCGGCCUCCCAAAGUGCUGGGAUUACAGGUGUGAGCCAUAUUUUAUGCCUUUUAUCAGGGCAUCCUCUGUAGGUUUACAUGACAUAAAAUUGCCCAGAGGGCAACUGAAGAGCAUCACUCUACAAUUUGGGAGAGGUAAAGGGAAAAGAAUCAGAUGGGUAAGAUACAUAAAAGGUAUAUAGCUAUGAAGUUGUUCAAUACUCAGUACACACCGUGGUUAAACACAGAUGCAAAAGCCGGAUUGCAAGUUUGAAUCUUGGCUCCAUCACUGCACAUCCUUGGGCUGGUUCCUUAACCUCUCUCAGUCUCAUAUCCCAUAAAAAAAAAAAAAGAAUUAAAUUAGUCAAUAUAAAUGUAAAAGUUCUUACAACUAGCUGGCACAUAGAAAGCUGUUAGCAGGCAGGGCAUGGUGGCUCACAUCCAUAAUCCCAGCACUUUGGGAGGCCAAGGCAGGCAGAUCACUUGAGGUCAGCAGUUCGAGACCAGCCUGGCCAACAUGGUGAAACCGCAUCUCUACUAAAAAUACAAAAAUUAGCCAGGCGUGGUGGUGGGCGCCUGUAGUCCCAGCUACUCAGGAGGCUGAGGUGGGAGAAUCACUUGAACCUGGGAGCGGGAGGUUGCAGUGAGCCGAAAUCAUGCCACUACACCCCAGCCUGGGCAAUAGAGUAAGGCUCUGUCUCAAAAAAAAAAAAAAAAAGCUGUUAGCAGUUGUAGCAGAAACAUGGUUUUACCCAUGGAAUAUCCAUGGGCUUCCCCUUAUUUCUUAGCCUCCCUUGUGUUGGGUCGGGACACGUGACCUACACCAAUAUGCUGAGAACAAGUGUCAUUUGAGGACUGAAGCAGGUGAGAGCUGAUGCAUGCUUGCCAACUUUUUCUUCCCAUCACUGAAAUUUCAUGGAAACCAUGUGGUGAGAUGGUAGAGACACAAACUGGAAGUAAUCCAAAUCACUGAGCGGCCACAUGGAGAACAGUCACCCUGAAGUCACCCAACUUGUAUCAGAUUUUGUAAGAAAUAAACCUUUGUUACAUUAAGCCACAGAGAUUUCAGAACCUGUCCUGUCCUGACCGAUGCAGCUAUUAUUAAACUUGUAAUCAAGAAUGAUUAGUCUGAGAAAAGGACAGCAAAUUUUAGAAAAUUAGGAAACAUUUGCUGAGUACCUAGAAUGUUCCAGACAUCUUGUAUAGUGCCUUAUCUUCUCUAAUCUGGGGGUGGUUUUUGGCACCCAGGGGACAUUUGACAAUAUCUGGAGAUAUUUUUUGUUUCACAACUGAAGGGGUUCUGCUGGCAUCUAGUGGGUAGAGGCCAGGGACACUGCUACAAAGCCCUAUAAUGUAUUAAGUGUACAAAAGGAAACCCUCCCGGCCAGGCAUGGUGGUUCAUACCUGUAAUCUCUGCACUCUGGAGUCUGAGGCAGGCAGAUGGCUUGAGCCCAAGAGGUUGAAGCUGCAGUGAGCCCUGAUCGUUAUGCCACUGCACUCCAGCCUGGGCGAAAGAGCGUCUCAAAAAAAUAAAACCUCUCUGCUGUUGGUUUCUGUGACUGGCAACGUUGGGUUGCUUGGCUCAGUAUUAAUAGUCAAGCAGUUAAGUAAAUAAGCACAACUCCAUUAAUCCAGAAUAAAAAUACUGUUGGCAACCCAUUUAAACAUUGAGUCUAAGCACUUGAACAUGAGUGUUGCUUCAUGUUUCUCCAGUUUGGGAAAUCUGUAUUUGCAGUUGGCAGAGAUUAGGAGUUGCUACACUUAGCAAUAAGGAGAGUAAAGCCUUAACAAAACUGGAUACAGUUUGUUAAGCCCUCCAAACUGACAUGUUAAGAUGGAGAUGUUUACCAGACAUCCAAGUCAAAAUAUCAAAUAAGCAAUUUAAUGACUACAGCUCAAGAGAAAUGGGUUUGAGAUAGAAAUUUGGGUCUUCAGUAUAGGUAAUAAAGCCUGGAAAUGAAUGUGGUCUCACCAAUAGAAUGUUAGAGAAGUCCAAGAACAAAACCUUGGUGAUAUGGUUUGGCUGUGUCCCCACCCAAGCCUCAACUUCAAUUGCAUCUCCCAGAAUUCCCACGUGUUGUGGGAGGGACCAAGGGGGAGGUAAUUGAAUCAUGGGGGUCAGUCUUUCCUGUGCUGUUCUCAUGAUAGUGAAUAAGUCUCACGAGAUCUGAUAGAUUUAUCAGGCUGCUUUUGCUUCUUCCUCAUUUUCUCUUGCCUCCACCAUGUAAGAAGUGCCUUUCACCUCCUGCCAUGAUUCUGAGACCUCCUCAGCCAUGUGGAACUGUUAAGUCCAAUUAAACCUCUUUUUCUUCCCAGUAUCAGGUAUGUCUUUAUCAGCCGCAUGAAAACGGACUGAUACAGUAUAUUGGUACCAGGAGUGGGGUGCUGCUAAAAAGAUAACCAAAAAUGUGGAAGCAACUUUGGAACUGGGUAACAGGUAGAGGUUGGAACAGUUUGGAGGGCUCAGAGGAAGACAGGAAAAUGUGGGGAAGUUUGGAAUUUCCCAGAGACUUGUUGAAUGGCUUUGCCCAAAAUGCUGAUACCAAUAUGAACAAUAAGGUCCAGGCUGAGGUGGUCUCAGAUGGAGAUGAGGAACUUGUUGGGAACUGGAGCAAAGGUGACUCUUGCUAUGUUUUAGCAAAGAGACUGGCAGCAUUUUACCCCUGCCCUAGUGACUUAUGGAACUUUGAACUUGAGAGAAAUGAUUUAGGGUAUCUGGUAGAAAUUUCUAAGCAGCAAAACAUUCAAGAGGUGACUUGGGUGCUGUUAAAGGCAUUCAGUUUUAUAAGGGAAGCAGAGCAUAAAAGUUUGGAAAAUUUGCAGCCUAUGUGAUAGAAAAUUAAAAUGCAUUUUCUGGGGAGAAAUUCAAGCUGGCUGCGGAAAUUUGCGUAAGUAGCAAGGAGGCUAAUGUUAAUCC
RNAcentral lists this long non-coding RNA (7210 nucleotides) under Homo sapiens (human). RNAcentral describes it as "HSALNT0354503". Lineage: Eukaryota; Metazoa; Chordata; Mammalia; Primates; Hominidae. The record is from RNAcentral.